RNAcentral lists this ribosomal RNA (428 nucleotides) under Gemmatimonadota bacterium. Its description in RNAcentral is "Gemmatimonadetes bacterium partial 16S ribosomal RNA". It matches the Rfam family "Bacterial small subunit ribosomal RNA", at positions 355 to 776 of the family's 1533-position model. The record is from RNAcentral. Lineage: Bacteria; Pseudomonadati; Gemmatimonadota.
UAGGGAAUCUUCGGCAAUGGACGAAAGUCUGACCGAGCAACGCCGCGUGAGUGAAGAAGGUUUUCGGAUCGUAAAACUCUGUUGUAGAGAAGAACAAGGACGUUAGUAACUGAACGUCCCCUGACGGUAUCUAACCAGAAAGCCACGGCUAACUACGUGCCAGCAGCCGCGGUAAUACGUAGGUGGCAAGCGUUGUCCGGAUUUAUUGGGCGUAAAGCGAGCGCAGGCGGUUUCUUAAGUCUGAUGUGAAAGCCCCCGGCUCAACCGGGGAGGGUCAUUGGAAACUGGGAGACUUGAGUGCAGAAGAGGAGAGUGGAAUUCCAUGUGUAGCGGUGAAAUGCGUAGAUAUAUGGAGGAACACCAGUGGCGAAGGCGGCUCUCUGGUCUGUAACUGACGCUGAGGCUCGAAAGCGUGGGGAGCAAACAGG